Balaenoptera ricei (Rice's whale) is the source of this 947-nucleotide long non-coding RNA. RefSeq lists it as uncharacterized. The record is from RefSeq and is a predicted model, not a curated record. The transcript has 2 exons. Lineage: Eukaryota; Metazoa; Chordata; Mammalia; Artiodactyla; Balaenopteridae.
GGCAGCCAAAGGCUGCCGGAGUGGACAGCGCAAAUGGGACCCCCACGGCGGAAGUCGAGGCGGGGAGAUUUGGAGAAGUAGUUGCAAACCACGAGGACAGGGUACUGGACACCACAGGAGGAAACCCCGCCCCACCCACAAGGAAGACGAGCAGUCGGGAAGUGUGAUCUGCACAGCCCACAGCGCGCACCCUCCACCUCCACACCUCCUGAAGGACCAGCCUCAGCCUCGGAUACCGCCCACGCCAGCCCGGCGCCUGAGGUCGGAGCGCCGGAGGGAGGGGGGGUGCGGUCACCCUCUUCUCGCCCUGGCACUUCGCCAGCUCGCCCGACUCACCGUCCGCUGCCAAGCCGGAAUUGCUCCUGCGAGGUCCACAUCUGCGCCUGGGUAGGCGAAGCGGCAGCAACAGCGACACUAACCUGGGCGUCCACUCGCUAAAAGCUCUCACAGCCCGCCCCUGGCCACGGGCGGUGCAAAGGGAAGGACGUGCGUCUGCAGGAAGUGCGUCACGGCGCAGCGCGUGGCCUGCCGGGAAGCGUAGUUUCGGACCAGAGCGCGACCCUCGCGGUUCGGAGAAAGACUGUAUUACCGCGUUGACCUGCUGAUUUCUCCUCCGGCACGUUUUCUGUUUUUACCACUGCUGUAUGGGCUUCCCUGCUGGCGCAAUGGUUGAGAAUCUGCCAAUGCAGGGGACACGGGUUCAAGCCCUGGUCUGGGAAGAUCCCACAUGCCGCGGGGCAACUGGGCCCGUGAGCCACAACUACUGAGCCUGCGCGUUUGGAGCCUGUGCUCUGCAGUAAGAGAGGCCGCGAUAGUGAGAGGCCCGCGCACCGCGAUGAGGAGUGGCCCCCCGCUCGCCGCAACUAGAGCAAGCCCUCGCACAGAAACGAAGACCCAACACAGCCAAAAUAAUAAAUUAAUUAAUAAAUUAAUUUAUAAAAAAAAGA